CUUCCUCCUUCUUCUCUUUGCUUCUUCAAAAUCUCCGAGAAUUACUUUCCUUUUCUGGCUUUGGCUGUCUGCUUCUCAUGGUAGGGGUCAGACGGAUUGCUUUCUUCGGUUUGAUUCAUACCAGGUGGGUUGCUUCAGGUUCCCAUGCCCCAAGUUAGACUGGAGAGAUACUGCGGCCGAAGCUCCAUGCCGGUAAACAUGACAUUGCAAUCUGAGCUUGGUAAUGCCCAUUCCAACCACAUUCUUUCCGUUUCCGCUCCACUGGACCUUCCUCCUCGACAACUUAGUUUUCCCCUGGACAGACC
Molecule: long non-coding RNA, 305 nt
Filed under: Salvia miltiorrhiza (redroot sage)
Lineage: Eukaryota; Viridiplantae; Streptophyta; Magnoliopsida; Lamiales; Lamiaceae
Description: long non-coding RNA (SMIL_LNC001541)
Source: RNAcentral